This is a non-coding RNA of Pelodiscus sinensis (Chinese soft-shelled turtle), 740 nucleotides long. NCBI's taxonomy places the organism in Eukaryota, Metazoa, Chordata, Testudines, Trionychidae. The record is from RefSeq and is a predicted model, not a curated record.
CCGCCCUUCAGCUUCUCGGCCCCGCAGCAAAGUCACCCGGUCACAGCCACCGUCGCACCCUUCCGCUACCGCCUUCAGGGUGACGGGGAGCAGGAGGAACGUCCCCAGGAGGAGCACACGUGGAAGGAACCCGCCAGCCCUGCGGAUGGGCCAGAACUGGGCUUCCCCGGCUGGGACACUGCUCUGCAGCGAGGAGGAAAGCAAUACCUAGAAGGAGAGGGAACUAGGAAGGAAGGAGGUAAGCGAAUUGCUACGUCUAAUUAGGGCCAGCGCAUUCGAGUGUUAGCGGUGGGGUGAGGCUGCCAAGCUCCCAUUGAUCGUGAGCGGCUCGCCCUGUUUGGUUAGCAGAAUUUAUGGCUGACAUUACAAGCAGGGCCCGUGCUUUGUAAUAGCAAUUCACAGCGUGCCUGGAGGCAGCCAAAUCCAGGCUGGGAAGCUUGGCCCAACAGCUGGGAGAGAGCCUCAAAGUACUUCGGCUACCUUCUCCCAGCUGCUGCCCUGGGGGUUCUCCCCUCAGCGGUCGCAAGCCGCAAGCCUGGCACGACGGGGGGAUGUUUUCACGUGCCCGUGAGGUGCGAUUUUCACUGGGAGCUGGCAGUGGGAUUCCCAGCUGGCGCUGAUGGCGGAGAUGGCUCCUAAAUUGAAGCCAGGAUCCAGUAGCCUUCGUGAAUGGCUUUGGGGCAGUUCUGAGCUGGCGCCAGGGUUGUGGCUAGCCCCCUUCGCAUAGGGUAUGUCUACAC